This 254-nucleotide ribosomal RNA is filed under the name uncultured bacterium. RNAcentral's name for it is "partial 16S ribosomal RNA". It matches the Rfam family "Bacterial small subunit ribosomal RNA", at positions 524 to 776 of the family's 1533-position model. The record is from RNAcentral.
UACAGAGGGGGCAAGCGUUAUUCGGAAUUAUUGGGCGUAAAGGGCGCGUAGGCGGCUUGGCAAGUGGAUGGUGAAAUCCCUCGGCUUAACCGAGGAACUGCCGUCCAAACUGCUUCGCUUGAGACCGGGAGAGGUGAGUGGAAUUCCCAGUGUAGCGGUGAAAAUGCGUAGAUAUUGGGAGGAACACCAGUGGCGAAGGCGGCUCACUGGACCGGUACUGACGCUGAUGCGCGAAAGCGUGGGGAGCAAACGGG